Molecule: non-coding RNA, 147 nt
Organism: Gossypium hirsutum (cotton)
Lineage: Eukaryota; Viridiplantae; Streptophyta; Magnoliopsida; Malvales; Malvaceae
Source: Rfam
UAUUAAAAAUUUUACUCAUUUCUACUGUUAAAAACUGGCACGGUAGACUAAAUAACCUAAUAGUUACACACGUAGCAUGUCAUGUGUAUCUCAUGUUGACGAAUAAAAACUAAUUUUUAACAAUAAAAAUAGAUAAAAUUUUUAACG